AUGUUUCUGAGGAUUCUGGGAAAUGAGCUCGACCGAGUGCUCUUCAGAGGGACGGGACCAUCAUCGUCUUUAUAUACAGUCACUGAUCGUCUUUAUAUACAGUCAGUGAUCGUCUUUAUAUACAGUCAGUGAUCAUCUUUAUAUACAGUCAGUGAUCGUCUUUAUAUACAGUCAGUGAUCGUCUUUAUAUACAGUCACUGAUCAUCUUUAUAUACAGUCACUGAUCGUCUUUAUAUACAGUCACUGAUCGUCUUUAUAUACAGUCAGUGAUCGUCUUUAUAUACAGUCAGUGAUCGUCUUUAUAUACAGUCAGUGAUCAUCUUUAUAUACAGUCAGUGAUCGUCUUUAUAUACAGUCACUGAUCGUCUUUAUAUACAGUCAGUGAUCGUCUUUAUAUACAGUCAGUGAUCGUCUUUAUAUACAGUCACUGAUCGUCUUUAUAUACAGUCACUGAUCGUCUUUAUAUACAGUCAGUGAUCGUCUUUAUAUACAGUCAGUGAUCGUCUUUAUAUACAGUCACUGAUCGUCUUUAUAUACAGUCAGUGAUCGUCUUUAUAUACAGUCACUGAUCGUCUUUAUAUACAGUCAGUGAUCGUCUUUAUAUACAGUCAGUGAUCGUCUUUAUAUACAGUCACUGAUCGUCUUUAUAUACAGUCAGUGAUCGUCUUUAUAUACAGUCAGUGAUCGUCUUUAUAUACAGUCAGUGAUCAUCUUUAUAUACAGUCACUGAUCGUCUUUAUAUACAGUCAGUGAUCGUCUUUAUAUACAGUAAGUUAUUGUCUUUGUGUUCAGUCAUUGAUCGUCUUUGACGCAUCACGAGAUAAAGAAUGGAAACGACAGGACGAUGACGUCGAGCUCACGUUUUCUUUUUCACAGAAGUUUAAAAAUUCUAAAAGUGAACAUUCAACACUUUCAUUUAUUUACACCAGAAUCGGAAAAAGAAAAUUGGUGAAAUUAAUUUAAUUUAAUUUAAUUAAAUGAGGAAAAUGAAGUUGGUGAGGGACGAGCGUUUUCAACUGUUUGUUGUUGACACACACACACACACACACACACACACACACACACACACACACACACACACACACAGUCUGCUGCCCCCACCCCCUCCUCCCUCCUCCUCUUCACAUAUUUCAGGCUUGUCACUUCUGAGCUGCGUCACUUUCUCCUCUGAACCGUCUCUGGACUCGUCGUCCUCCUCUGCUCUCGGGCCUGGUGGCCCCCGGCUCCUCGUGGCCCCCGGCUCCUCGUGGCCCCCGGCUCCUCGUGGCCCCCGGCUCCUCGUGGCCCCCGGCUCCUCGUGGCCCCCGGCUCCUCGUGGCCCCCGGCUCCUCGUGGCCCCCGGCACCUCGUGGCCCCCGGCUCCUCGCGGCCCCCCGGCUCCCUGUGGCCCCCCGGCUGCCCGCUUGGCCCCCCUUACAACCGGUCCACCAUGCGCUCUCUGCUGGACAGCAGCUGGAGGAAGUUCGGCCCGGCGGGUCGAGACUCUCUGGACUGGUCGCCCGGCCCCUCGGCGCUGCCCUCCACCGACCGGCAGACCACGGGUCAAAGGUCGGGCGAGGCCCUUAUCAGCGCAGGAUCCAUCACCUACAUCGUCAUAG
RNAcentral lists this long non-coding RNA (1598 nucleotides) under Scophthalmus maximus (turbot). RNAcentral's name for it is "lncRNA (ENSSMAG00000024517.1)". The record is from RNAcentral. Lineage: Eukaryota; Metazoa; Chordata; Actinopteri; Pleuronectiformes; Scophthalmidae.